UGGAAGUCGAAAUCCGCUAAGGAGUGU
This 27-nucleotide non-coding RNA is filed under the name Arabidopsis thaliana (thale cress). RNAcentral also lists the same sequence under 2 other names. Lineage: Eukaryota; Viridiplantae; Streptophyta; Magnoliopsida; Brassicales; Brassicaceae. The record is from RNAcentral.